This 268-nucleotide ribosomal RNA is filed under the name uncultured bacterium. RNAcentral's name for it is "partial 16S ribosomal RNA". It matches the Rfam family "Bacterial small subunit ribosomal RNA", at positions 87 to 353 of the family's 1533-position model. The record is from RNAcentral.
GAUGGCGACCGGCGCACGGGUGAGUAACACGUAUCCAACCUGCCGAUAACUCGGGGAUAGCCUUUCGAAAGAAAGAUUAAUACCCGAUGGCAUAAUAGAACCGCAUGGUUUGAUUAUUAAAGAAUUUCGGUUAUCGAUGGGGAUGCGUUCCAUUAGGCAGUUGGUGGGGUAACGGCCCACCAAACCUUCGAUGGAUAGGGGUUCUGAGAGGAAGGUCCCCCCACAUUGGAACUGAGACACGGUCCAAACUCCUACGGGAGGCAGCAUG